GAGAAAACCAAAGAGGGGGCGAGAAUGGGGAAGGGGGACAAUGAGGACGGGAGAUGUAUGCUAGUUUUUUGAGGGCCCAGGCAAUCUGAGACUAAAGAGGAAGUUCAACUAAACAGAUCCUUGUCUCUGUGGCUUAGCAUCUGUAUUACCUACACCAUGUCUGAGUUACUGUGUCACAGACAUAGUGGUUGAUUAAUAUAAUUUUUCUUAUAAAAGGUAUCUCCUUUUAUUUGAUUUUUGCCUAAAGACAUUGGUUAAUCAAAUGAUGCUGUUAUAAGUUUUCCAAUAGUACUUCCUCCCAUUAGUGAAGAAGAAAGCGUGGCUCGUAAAGAUGACCGAAAAAUUGGGAAAAAUGUUUAAGUACUUAAAUCUGGUUGUUCAGGGAUGAAGGUAUAAAGUCAUAAAGAAUUUAUUUACUCAGGAGUAAAAAGAAGUUGCUUUGCCUCAGACUAUGAAGAUGUAAAUGUAAGACUCCUAUGUGAAAUGUAAGAAAAAAACAGGAUACACACACAGACACACACACUAUUUAACCAGGAUGGUAAAAUUGAAGAGAAAGUUUGGCUCUUUCUGGAAAAUGGGAAGCUGAAAUAGUUCUGGUUGCUGUGGAGAUUAAAAGUCAACAAGUAACUCCUAUGAGGAAGAAUCAUUGUUCAGUGGUGGGAGGGAGACAGAUUGGAGCCAACCCCAAAGUUCCAAGCGAUGGCUCAUACUCCUGAAGAGAACUUGAUAUUUCCAACGUUUGAGAUUUCUGCAUACUCCAGUGGGUCCUUGGAGAGAGGCCUGCAGAGGGAAUCUGUCUUCAUUUCACCUUCAAUAGAGUUACUGCAUGUUCAGAGAUGUAUUUGAGUGUAAACUGUAAGACAAGUAAAACAUACACUCACACCUAUUCACAUAUACACAUAUAUAGAACAUAAAUAAGCCAGGAGAACAGAGAUAUUAAUAUCUAACAUAACUGCACACUAGCUAUGUAGUAGGUCCAAUUAUUUGCCUCUCAAAAACACAUUACAUCCCUACUUCAGUAGUUAGAUUAGGCUUAGUAACUCAUACGCAAAUGAAUCUAUUUAUUGUUUAUGUAACAAAUCAGAGUCUAGGUGCAGGCCAAUAGGGCAAGUCUCCUCCAUGACUUACUUCAUGGGCUUGGACUGAUGAAAACUUUCUUAUCAUUAACAUGCAGCUUUCAAAUAGAUAUCAACACCCCAGUCAGCUAGAAAAGAAAAGAGCAUUGAGGGGCACAGAGGUCUGCACAGUUAUGCUUGGAAGUGGCUCAUGUGCUUUCCACUUAUUUUCCAUUGUUGAAAACUUAAUCACAUGGUUAGAACUACCUACAUGGGAACUAAUAUAAUCUAGUUGUAUGUCCAGGUAGAAAGGAGGCAGCUAGCAGUCUCUGCUCCAUUUACAAAGAACACACCUUGUGCAAACCCAGUCAUUCGUGAUAUAUAUUGACAGAAUAAAUAUUACUGUCUGUAAUUUUCAUAGGAAUCAUCUUAUGCUAUCCAUGGAGAUGGAGGCCAUGUGUAUUCACUGAACAUGUCACAUAGUAGAUUCUUAUUUUUUGUUUAAUGGAUGGAUAAAUACACAAACACCCAACAUAGAUCACAUCUCUUUUAUUUUUAUUUAACUUUUUAGAAACGUUGAGUUUACAAGAAUAUGCUCUGCAGCCUAGACACGAUAGAGUGGUCCCAACUCAAGACCAGGAAGCAAAGGAUUCUUCUCCUUCAGAAUACUUCCCCGGCGUCUCUUCUGUAGACAAGCUGGCUGGUGCUGGUAAGGAGGGACGGCUUAAUAGAAUGCAGAGGGAAGUUGGGAUGUAGGCAGAGCCCAGAGAAGAGCUGAGUGAUUCUGCCCAGUAGUCAAUACAAGGCUGCCCAGUACCGAAACAAUUUGGUGAAUGCCUAACAGUUAAGUCGUGAGGCCUUAGUGUCAAUAUUCUAUCUCUUGACCCCUUCAGAACUCAAUCAUUCAUACUUGUUUCAUCUGAUGCAGUUUUCUACUUGUAUGUUACUAUACACUUGGCCAUACACAUUCUUCAUUUAUUUGGCUCUUCGCAAAGUUCCGUAUUCUGAAAGCUCAUGUAUUCUUUGUCUUACAUCCUUUGAUUUUUCACAUCUUUGUGUUCUCUCAUUAUUCCCUUAUAUUUUACAAACAAACUAAUUUGACUAGUCUCAAAGCGAGUAUUUACAAUAAUAACAUUGCACAUCUAAACCACAUUAAAAUAUGUAAAACACACAAAUCUAUAAAUAUAAGACAUGUAAUCUAGACACAUAGGUAUGUGCUGAACUAACACACAGACACAAAGAACACAUACCAUCCUCAUUCAAACACAACUCACUCCAUAUUCAGAUUUCCAAACCAAAAGAAUCACACAUUAACCCUAACCUAGUUUUAACCAACAUGUUAUGAGUUUACACAUGUGAAGCACAUCACAUUCACUAUACCAUUUUUCUGCAAAUGUGCAUAAUACAUCUACCAGAAGCAUUCAUGAGACAUGACGAUAAUCUUAAACAGUUAAAUAAUGAGCUACGAGCCUGGUUAACCUUGAGACAGGGACAGUGGCAUACUUAUAAUCAAUAGUGUAUUUCUUCAAAAAUGAAAAUUUACCAAUUGUUUCCUUGGAGAUUGUGAAUCUCUGAGAGGUGGGAUAUAGGGGAUGAAAGUGUGAAAGAUGUAGAGGAAGGCAAAUGGUACCAAAAAUCUUCACCAAGGUUUGUAAGUAUGAGCAACCUUGAUGGCGAGAUCCAGAUAGAAGCACAGAAUACUGAAACAUGCCAAUUGUCUGCCGAAGCUAAAGAUAAGUGUUCAGAACAAAAUAAGUCUUUCCAUGGGGCUGGGGCAGAGUGGAGUAGGUUGGGGAGAAGAGUGUAGGAGA
RNAcentral lists this long non-coding RNA (2866 nucleotides) under Equus caballus (horse). RNAcentral's name for it is "lncRNA (ENSECAG00000033666.3)". Lineage: Eukaryota; Metazoa; Chordata; Mammalia; Perissodactyla; Equidae. The record is from RNAcentral.